RNAcentral lists this ribosomal RNA (468 nucleotides) under uncultured bacterium. RNAcentral describes it as "partial 16S ribosomal RNA". It matches the Rfam family "Bacterial small subunit ribosomal RNA", at positions 28 to 507 of the family's 1533-position model. The record is from RNAcentral.
GACGAACGCUGGCGGCGUGCUUAACACAUGCAAGUCGAACGGAAAGGCCCUGCUUGUGUGUGGUGCUCGAGUGGCGAACGGGUGAGUAACACGUGAGUAACCUGCCCUGUACGUUGUGAUAACUUCAGGAAACUGGGGCUAAUACCGGAUAGGAGCGCCUGCUGCAUGGUGGGGGUUGGAAAGUUUCGGCGGUUGGGGAUGGACUCGCGGCUUAUCAGCUGGUUGGUGGGGUAGUGGCUUACCAAGGCUUUGACGGGUAGCCGGCCUGAGAGGGUGACCGGCGACCUUGGGACUGCGAUACGGAGCAGAGUCCUACGGGAGGCAGCAGUGGAGAAUAUUGCACAAUGGGCGGAAGCCUGAUGCAGAAACGCCGGGUGCGGGAUGACGGCCUUCGGGUUGUAAACCGCUUUAGCCUGUGACGAAGCGUGAGUGACGGUACUGGGUAAAGAAGCACCGGCUAACUACGUG